UACGUAGGGGGCGAGCGUUGUCCGGAUUUAUUGGGCGUAAAGAGCGUGUAGGCGGCCAGGUAGGUCUGCUGUGAAAACUCGAGGCUCAACCUCGAGACGUCGGCGGAAACCAUCUGGCUAGAGUCCGGAAGAGGAGAGUGGAAUUCCUGGUGUAGCGGUGAAAUGCGCAGAUAUCAGGAAGAACACCCGUGGCGAAGGCGGCAUCCUGGACCAACAUUGACGCUGAGGAGCGAAAGCUAGGGGAGCAAACGGG
RNAcentral lists this ribosomal RNA (253 nucleotides) under uncultured bacterium. RNAcentral's name for it is "partial 16S ribosomal RNA". It matches the Rfam family "Bacterial small subunit ribosomal RNA", at positions 524 to 776 of the family's 1533-position model. The record is from RNAcentral.